RNAcentral lists this unclassified non-coding RNA (122 nucleotides) under uncultured Rozellomycota. RNAcentral describes it as "uncultured Cryptomycota sequence contains ITS1". The record is from RNAcentral. Lineage: Eukaryota; Fungi; Rozellomycota.
CAAAUCUUUGCGAGUGCUGCGUGCUUUGCUGUGCGUCAGUAUCUCACAACAUUAGCACAAGGUCGCAAGGCCUUGAUGUUUACGCUUGUUUGUUUGACAGAGUUAGUUGAGACAAUAAUAGA